Molecule: ribosomal RNA, 478 nt
Filed under: uncultured bacterium
Lineage: Bacteria
Description: partial 16S ribosomal RNA
Rfam family: Bacterial small subunit ribosomal RNA
Source: RNAcentral
GACGAACGCUGGCGGCGUGCUUAACACAUGCAAGUCGAACGGUAAGGCCCUUCGGGGUACACGAGUGGCGAACGGGUGAGUACACGUGGGUGAUCUGCCCUGCACUUCGGGAUAAGCCUGGGAAACUGGGUCUAAUACCGGAUAGGACCCUGGGAUGCAUGUCCUGGGGUGGAAAGCUUUUGCGGUGUGGGAUGGGGCCCGCGGCCUAUCAGCUUGUUGGUGGGGUGAUGGCCUACCAAGGCGACGACGGGUAGCCGGCCUGAGAGGGUGACCGGCCACACUGGGACUGAGAUACGGCCCAGACUCCGACGGGAGGCAGCAGUGGGGAAUAUUGCACAAUGGGCGCAAGCCUGAUGCAGCGACGCCGCGUGAGGGAUGACGGCCUUCGGGUUGUAAACCUCUUUCAGCACCGACGAAGCGCAAGUGACGGUAGGUGCAGAAGAAGGACCGGCCAACUACGUGCCAGCAGCCGCCGUAA